AGCUAAUGGCGAAUGCCUUGGCAGUUUAAGCCGAAGAAGGACGGGUACUGACGCCCGAAAACAACGAUGAGCCCGUAAGCAGGCGUUAUCAAUCGUUGGUUUCCGAAUGGGGCAACCCAACCCUGCGUAAGCAGAGUAAACCUAAGCUACGCAAGUAGCGUGGGUAGGUAACCUGGUGAACUGAAACAUCUCAGUAACCAGAGGAAAAAAAAACAAUAGUGAUUGCGUUAGUAGCGGCGAGCGAAAACGUAACAGCCUAAACCUGGUCGUAAGACUAGGUGUUGCGGGGCAAAUAAUAUGGAAUCCUAUCUCGGGUAAAAGAACGUUCUGGAAAGGACGGCCACAGAAAGUGAUAGCCUUGUAUUUAAAAUCCGAGAUGGUCCUAUUUUGUUCCCAAGUACCACGAGGCACGGCAAACCUUGUGGGAAGCCGGGUCGGUCACGACCCAAGGCUAAAUACUUAAACUGACCGAUAGUGAACUAGUACCGUGAGGGAAAGGUGAAAAGCACCCCGUUAAGGGGAGUGAAAUAGAAACUGAAACCAUUAGCUAACAAGCAGGUAAAGCUUGUGCUUUGCACAAGCAAGUUGAAAAGUUUGUAAAGUUUUUAAAGUUUAUAAAGAAAAUCUCUUUAUGAACUUUUUACUUUAUGAACUUUAUGAACUUGCUCGCGCAGAGCGCGAGUGAUACCGUGCCUAUUGAAGAAUGAGUCAGCGAGUAUACGUUUUAGUGUUAUGUUUAAUCCCGAUUAAAUUGGGAGGAGACAAAGCGAAAGCGAGUCCUAAUAGGGCGAAUUUAUACUUAACGUAUGACCCGAAACUGGGUGAGCUAACCAUGGGCAGGAUGAACCCCGAUGAAAAUCGGGAGGAGGUCCGAACCCGUUGUCGGUGAAAUGACAUGGGAAGACUUGUGGUUAGGGGUAAUAUGCCUAUCGAACCCAGAGAUAGCUGGUUCUCCUCGAGAUAUAUUUAGGUAUAGCCUCGUUCUUAAUUUUUCGCGGGGUAGAGCGACUAGAUGGUCCAGCAAGCGUAAGCGAGCGGGAUCAACUAAACUCCGAAUACGCGAAAAAAGUAAACGGGAGUCAGUCGAGCCGGGAUAAGCUGGUUUCGGCGAGAGGGAAACAUCCCAGACUCUCAUCUAAGGUUCCUAAAUAACUUUUAAGUGAAAAGGUCGUUGCGUUUCCAAUACAGAUGGGAGGUUGGCUCAGAAGCAGCCAUCCUUUAAAGAGUGCGUAACAGCUCACCAUAAUAUGUCCGACAUUACGUCGGACAGGAAACCAGGCGCCCAAAAUGAUCGGAGCUAAAAAGUUUACCGAAGAUGGAGAUGCUAUCGCAAGAUAGCGUGGUAGAGGAGCUUUCCAAAAGCAGCGAAGUAUUACCGUAAGGUAAGAUGGAGCUUUUGGAAGUGAGAAUGCUGACAUAAGUAGUGAAUCUCCCGAUAAAAACUCGGGAUGCCGCAUGUCUAAGGUUUCCCCGGCAAUGUCAAUCAUCCGGGGGUCAGUCGAAUCUAACCCUGUGCCCAUCGUGGUACAGGGGAUGUACAAAUCGUUAAUAUUCGAUUACUUAUUUUUUGGCGUUAUUACUUGAUUUAUGACGAAGUUUGAUAUUUCUACCCUUCUAUAUGGGGGGUUAAGUAAUAAAUUCCGACGCAAGUCGGGGCGAGUUACAAAUACAAUUCUGUCGCAAGACGGGAGAGUAGGAUGACUUAAGCUUCCGGGAAAAAUAAAUCAAGGAGUCAAAAAAUAAUUCGUACCGCAAACCGACACAGGUGGACUGGUGGAGAACACCAAGGCAAACGGGUAAUGGUUGUUCAAGGAAUUCGGCAAAAAAGCUGAGCGUAAGUUAUACAAGAUGCUCUGGCCGAUGUUACAUCGGCCUUCAACAAAAGAUGUCAACCGACUGUUUAGCAAAAACACAGGUUCCUGCAAACCCCAAUAGGGGAUAUAUAGGAGCUGAGACCUGUCCAGUACUGGUAAGUCAACCGCUUUGGGUGAUCCAAUUCAUUUGGUUAGCUCGAGGUGUAAGCUCCAGUGAACGACAGCUCUAACCCUGAGAGUUCUAAGGUAGCGUAGCCCCUUGCCGGGUAAGUUCCGGCCC
Molecule: ribosomal RNA, 2094 nt
Filed under: Candidatus Roizmanbacteria bacterium CG_4_9_14_0_2_um_filter_36_12
Lineage: Bacteria; Candidatus Roizmaniibacteriota
Description: bacterial LSU rRNA
Rfam family: Bacterial large subunit ribosomal RNA
Source: RNAcentral